GAGUGGAAAUCUGUGAGCAGAAGCCUGGGUUGGAGUCCUCAAAGUCCUGUUAAAUAAACCCAACAGCAUUCUUCCUGAAAUUGUCCUUCAGGCUUCCCUCUCACAAAAACCACACUGAAGUUUCCUUGGCCACACAAAGAUUCCCAGAAUGAGAGAUCCAGCCUUUCUCCCAUGCUUCUCCUGCAUCACCCAAUGCUGCUUAACAAUCUCUACUGCAGAACAACCAAGAGGGCCUGAAGAUGGAUGGCAAGUUUUGUAGCUACACCCAAGACACCCAGCUCUUUCACUGGGAUUCCAUCAACAGCACACUCAGGAAAAGUCUGACAGCACAGAACAUCACAAGAAAAUACAUCUCAUGAAGAGUGGUAGGUUUAGAGUUAAGCACAAUUUAUUUCUUGUGCCACUGCAAACCAGGAGAGCCUGCUCUGGUGUGCAGCCAGAGAAAGUGACUCCUGAGCUUUAAGUAAAGGCAUGUGCAGAGGGAGAAGUGUAAAUGCAGAGCAAUCCAGUGACAAACAGUACACAGCAUGUUUUUAAUCCUAAAUCAAGAGCUGGAUGCAAAUGAAAAUAGGGAAGGAUAUGAAUUAUCAAGAUCAAUAUGUUGACAUAGGGGUUCUGCAAGAACCUCCCUGUGGCAGAGCAGGGAUGUCUCUGUGACCUGCACAGACUGGAUUAACUGUGCAUUACUGCAGACAGACUUUAUCAAAUAUGGAAUAACCCUUGAAUCUGAAUCUGACUUUCUCAGUCUGCAAUGCUCUACCUUAACACCAGGUCCUUUUGAGGACCUUGAAUAUUAUUCUCUAUACUUGUGGUUUAGUUUUGCUGCAUUUUUAUUUCCCUUUUCUUAAGUGUGGAAAGCAACAGCCAAUUUGUUUCUCCUUGUUCCAUCCCACACACUUGAGGAUGCCCAAUACCUUCCAUUUCAAAAUCCCAAAUAAUGCAGAACACUCCAUGACACGGUUUGGAGAGGUGCUGCUUUUGAUCUGUCUUUCUUAUUUCACUGUAAAAAUCCACUAAAAUUAAUAACUGAAAUUAAUGAAAAGCCACAGAGCAAACAAGAGGACCAUUGAGUUUUGCAUUCUUGAAAUCCUUCCUCUUAACCACAGCCAGCCAACUGCCCAAUCUUAAAAUUAAAAAAAACCAAAACAAACAAACAAACAAAAAAAACCCAAACCACCAACCCAACAAAACCAAUCAUGUCUAUACAUAAAGGAAAUGUUUAAAAUUAUCAGGUCUCAUAGGUCUCAUGCUUUUUAUGCAGAAACCAAGACCAUAUGAACAGACUGCCUUUAGGAGCAACGCUGAUUCUCUUCUGCUACUCUGUUACACUUAGGAUUCCUUUUAUCUGCUCCAGUUUUUUUAAAGUGCCUUUAUCUCACAGUCACAGCGUCAGAAGGGUCACUUCUGCCUCAUUCCUCAUAAUGCACAUGCCCACAAGGAAGAAAUAAUUAUAAGAGAAAAAAGAACAAUAGAGGGAGGCAAUCACAGGACACCAUUGCUUAUUCACAGAACCCAUCUGAAAUACGGCUCCUGUUCAUUCCAGCUACUUGUCUCAGCUUUUCAACACUCUGUAUCCCAACGUUCUGAUGCCUGCAAACUACAAUACAAACAAACACAGGAGUUUCAACUCCUUCAUCAUUAUCAAUCAACAAUUAUUUCAGGAAAUAUGCAGAAGCUGUGACUCAGCUUGGACAUCGAUGGCUGUUCCAUUUCUUAGUCACUGAAUGAGCCUAACACAUGACUCAUCUCAGCUGACACAUUUUCAAUUGGAUCACUGAUAUUCCAGAACUUCAAAAGAAUUAUUCAUCUGGCUUAGUGCUAAUAGCAGCAUAUCCUCCAUCUCCUCCAUUUCUAGUACCAUACUACGAAGUGUACACAUACAGCUUAAGGGGUCUAAACACGUGAUUCAAUUGGUUUUAUCCACAGGGAAUUCAGAGACCACACAGAACUUGUGCUUCUGCUGGUGCACUGGUGUAUACUAUUUAUCAAGCAUGUGCAUAUCCUUCUUAAAAUAAAACUUAUUUUUCUCCAUCAA
Molecule: long non-coding RNA, 2035 nt
Organism: Serinus canaria (Common canary)
Lineage: Eukaryota; Metazoa; Chordata; Aves; Passeriformes; Fringillidae
Exons: 2
Source: RefSeq, a predicted model, not a curated record